Molecule: long non-coding RNA, 421 nt
Organism: Oncorhynchus tshawytscha (Chinook salmon)
Lineage: Eukaryota; Metazoa; Chordata; Actinopteri; Salmoniformes; Salmonidae
Source: Ensembl
CAGAGUCAGGACAGGCAGAGUGGUCAGGCAGGUGGGCUCAGAGUCAGGACAGGCAGAGUGGUCAGGCAGGCGGGCUCAGAGUCAGCACAGGCAGAGUGGUCAGGCAGGUGGGCUCAGAGUCAGGACAGGCAGAGUGGUCAGGCAGGUGGGCUCAGAGUCAGGACAGGCAGAGUGGUCAGGCAGGCGGGCUCAGAGUCAGGACAGGCAGAGUGGUCAGGCAGGCGAGCUCAGAGUCAGGGCAGGCAGAGUGGUCAGGCAGGCGGGCUCAGAGUCAGGACAGGCAGAGUUGUCAGGCAGGCGGGCUCAGAGUCAGGACAGGCAGAGUGGUCAGGCAGGCGGGCUCAGAGUCAGGACAGGCAGAGUGGUCAGGCAGGUGGGCUCAGAGUCAGGACAGGCAGAGUGGUCAGGCAGGUGGGCCCAG